AUAUAAAAACAAAACACACACCUAUUUUGUGUUGUUCAACGCACGCAAAAAAUCCCGCCACCUCUUUCUCCUCGUGUGGUGCAUAUUCAUGUUUGUGAGUGUGCACAUAUACGAUAUCUUUCAACUCUUUCUACUCGCACAAUGGUGUAUGUCACGCAUAUACGUGUGUGUAGUGAGUGAUAUGGAAGAGAAAUGGGAAAGGCAUAUAUAUAUAUGUAUAUACAUAAUAUAUAUGUGUGUGGAUUUGUGUGUUGAGCACAUAUAAGGAAAAAGGUUGUGUGUAUAUACAGAGAGUCUGUGGCGGUUGGGACAUGUGUAUAAAUAUAUAUAUGUAUAUGUGUGUGUUCCGCUGUGGAGAUUUUAUAUCUUACGGAGAGUGUUCAUAUAUAUAUGUUUGUACGCAUGUAUUUUGGCGCCCCGUAUAGAGAUUAAAAAAGAAGAGAAAAAGUAUGCAAAAGAGGCGGCGGAUAGUGUGUAUGUGUGUAUUCACAGCAAGCAACUAUAUUUUGCUGCUUGUGAGUAUAUGCAUAUAUGUACAUUAUGUGCUUGUGCUUCUUUCGUGUACGCUUCACUUUUUUAUAUUGUAUUUU
Molecule: ribosomal RNA, 590 nt
Filed under: Trypanosoma evansi evansi
Lineage: Eukaryota; Euglenozoa; Kinetoplastea; Trypanosomatida; Trypanosomatidae
Source: RNAcentral